GUGCUUAUGAAAAGGCAAUUUCAUAGUCUAUGAAGUUUUACUGAGAUGUGAUUAUUGCUGGCUGAAAUUUUUAUCCACCUAGAUGACUUGAGAUAUAGUCAGUUUUGGCAAUUAUGCAUGCAUG
Molecule: small nuclear RNA, 124 nt
Filed under: Mastacembelus armatus (zig-zag eel)
Lineage: Eukaryota; Metazoa; Chordata; Actinopteri; Synbranchiformes; Mastacembelidae
Description: U4 spliceosomal RNA (ENSMAMG00000016175.2)
Rfam family: U4 spliceosomal RNA
About the family: U4 small nuclear RNA (U4 snRNA) is a component of the major U2-dependent spliceosome. The structure of U4 snRNA from yeast and human has been reported.
Source: Rfam by way of RNAcentral